GAUUUACUGGGCACAUCCGUCUUCUGGAUAUUGAAUAGAGUUGAAUUUGGAGCAGCACUUUUCCAUGAGAAGAAGACACUGGAGGCCUCCCCUUCUUCCCCCCUCCCCAUUCCCAGCCCUCCCUCACUUCCCCAGGAGCCCAACCGGGGCUGGCCUGAGAGCUUAGGACCCUGAUAUAACAUCAUCGAUUCACGGAGAGCUAGAACCUUGUCAUUUCACAUUUCGAGGAGGGAAAGGAGAAAGCAAUUUGGGAAAAGCACCCUUUUCGGAGAUAAAGAGGCAAGCUUUUGUCUCCUCUCCCAUGGAUGCCCUGGAAACCGCUCCUGCUUCACUUCCUGACCAUGUGGAGCGGUCACAAUUAGGGGCUAUUGCCUUAAAAAAAAAUGUCUUUUGCCUUGUUUUAUUUAGUGUGCCCAGAAUUCACUGAUAUCUGGAAGUGAGCACUUCCGCUUAUGGGUGCUCUGGAAACAGGAAAAUAAAAGGAAAAAUCAGAACUACAAGCAGAGAGAUCCUUAUUUUUUUAACUUUUUAUUUUCUCUUGGGGUAUAGCUGAUUAACAAUGCUGUGAUGGUUUCAGGCGAACAGCAAAGGGACUCAGCCAUACAUAUAUGUGUAUCCAUUCUGCCCCAAACUCCCCUCCCAGCAAGAUCCUUCUUGGCCUGUUUUUUUCCCUUCUUCCCCAUUUUGAAAUAAUGCUUUAAAUGCUCUAGCAGGCUCUUUCAGUUACCUCUAACAGUUCUGUAGCAACCUGUAUCAUGUCAGCAUCAGAACUGAACUGAGAGAAAGCAAAAUGUCAGAGCAGCUGGUGACGGCUGAGGCCUCGUAUUGCCCCACUGCUGAGGGGGUCGGAGGCCUUCAUUCUGGUCUGGGAAUCCUGUGGGUUUCUUGUUGGGCCAACAUGAGGGCGAGUGUUGUGUCAGGCUGGGACAUUGUUAAGAAGGUGUCUUCCACAUAAGGCUCAAUAAAUACCACCUAAAUUGGAUGUCAUUAAAUUAGCAGCAGCUGCCC
This is a long non-coding RNA of Bos taurus (domestic cattle), 1008 nucleotides long. The record is from Ensembl. Lineage: Eukaryota; Metazoa; Chordata; Mammalia; Artiodactyla; Bovidae.